Molecule: unclassified non-coding RNA, 363 nt
Filed under: uncultured Chloroflexota bacterium
Lineage: Bacteria; Bacillati; Chloroflexota
Description: uncultured Chloroflexi bacterium contains 16S-23S intergenic spacer region
Source: RNAcentral
UCCCGGUUGCUCCGGGCAGUCUCGUCUGAGAAGUACAACAGACGACAAGGGUUGCGCUCGUUGCGGGACUUAACCCAACACCUCACGGCACGAGCUGACGACAGCCAUGCAGCAUCUGUGACGCGGCCCCGAAGGGAAACCGGCUUUCACCGGCGGUCCGCGCCAUGUCAAGCCCUGGUAAGGUUCUUCGCGUAGCUUCGAAUUAAACCGCACGCUCCGCUGCUUGUGCGGGUCCCCGUCAAUUCCUUUGAGUUUUAGCCUUGCGGCCGUAGUCCCCAGGCGGAGCACUUAUCGCGUUAGCUGCGCUACCCAGGGGGUCGAUACCCCAGACAGCUAGUGCUCAUCGUUUACGGCGUGGACUAC